This 652-nucleotide ribosomal RNA is filed under the name uncultured bacterium. RNAcentral describes it as "bacterial SSU rRNA". It matches the Rfam family "Bacterial small subunit ribosomal RNA", at positions 44 to 690 of the family's 1533-position model. The record is from RNAcentral.
AGGCUUAAUACAUGCAAGUCGUGGGGUCAGCAGGAGUAGCAAUACUUGCUGGCGACCGGCAAACGGGUGCGUAACACGUACACAACUUUCCUUUAAGUGGGGGAUAGCCCAGAGAAAUUUGGAUUAAUACCUCGUAAUAUUAUGAGAUGGCAUCAUUUUAUAAUUAUAGCUACGGCGCUUGAAGAUGGGUGUGCGGCUGAUUAGGUAGUUGGCGGGGUAACGGCCCACCAAGCCUUCGAUCAGUAGCUGAUGUGAGAGCAUGAUCAGCCACACGGGCACUGAGACACGGGCCCGACUCCUACGGGAGGCAGCAGUAAGGAAUAUUGGUCAAUGGACGCAAGUCUGAACCAGCCAUGCCGCGUGAAGGAUUAAGGUCCUCUGGAUUGUAAACUUCUUUUAUUUGGGACGAAAAAAGGGAAGUCUUUCUCACUUGACGGUACCAGAUGAAUAAGCACCGGCUAACUCCGUGCCAGCAGCCGCGGUAAUACGGAGGGUGCAAGCGUUAUCCGGAUUCACUGGGUUUAAAGGGUGCGUAGGCGGAUAGGAAAGUCAGUGGUGAAAUCUUCGAGCUUAACUCGGAAACUGCCAUUGAUACUAUUUAUCUUGAAUAUUGUGGAGGUGAGCGGAAUAUGUCAUGUAGCGGUGAAAUGCU